AAAAGCCUCUAAGCAUCAGGUAACAUCAAAUCGUACCCCAAACCGACACAGGUGGUCAGGUAGAGAAUACCAAGGCGCUUGAGAGAACUCGGGUGAAGGAACUAGGCAAAAUGGUGCCGUAACUUCGGGAGAAGGCACGCUGAUAUGUAGGUGAAGUCCCUCGCGGAUGGAGCUGAAAUCAGUCGAAGAUACCAGCUGGCUGCAACUGUUUAUUAAAAACACAGCACUGUGCAAACACGAAAGUGGACGUAUACGGUGUGACGCCUGCCCGGUGCCGGAAGGUUAAUUGAUGGGGUCAGCGCAAGCGAAGCUCUUGAUCGAAGCCCCGGUAAACGGCGGCCGUAACUAUAACGGUCCUAAGGUAGCGAAAUUCCUUGUCGGGUAAGUUCCGACCUGCACGAAUGGCGUAAUGAUGGCCAGGCUGUCUCCACCCGAGACUCAGUGAAAUUGAACUCGCUGUGAAGAUGCAGUGUACCCGCGGCAAGACGGAAAGACCCCGUGAACCUUUACUAUAGCUUGACACUGAACAUUGAGCCUUGAUGUGUAGGAUAGGUGGGAGGCUUAGAAGUGUGGACGCCAGUCUGCAUGGAGCCGACCUUGAAAUACCACCCUUUAAUGUUUGAUGUUCUAACGUUGACCCGUAAUCCGGGUUGCGGACAGUGUCUGGUGGGUAGUUUGACUGGGGCGGUCUCCUCCUAAAGAGUAACGGAGGAGCACGAAGGUUGGCUAAUCCUGGUCGGACAUCAGGAGGUUAGUGCAAUGGCAUAAGCCAGCUUGACUGCGAGCGUGACGGCGCGAGCAGGUGCGAAAGCAGGUCAUAGUGAUCCGGUGGUUCUGAAUGGAAGGGCCAUCGCUCAACGGAUAAAAGGUACUCCGGGGAUAACAGGCUGAUACCGCCCAAGAGUUCAUAUCGACGGCGGUGUUUGGCACCUCGAUGUCGGCUCAUCACAUCCUGGGGCUGAAGUAGGUCCCAAGGGUAUGGCUGUUCGCCAUUUAAAGUGGUACGCGAGCUGGGUUUAGAACGUCGUGAGACAGUUCGGUCCCUAUCUGCCGUGGGCGCUGGAGAACUGAGGGGGGCUGCUCCUAGUACGAGAGGACCGGAGUGGACGCAUCACUGGUGUUCGGGUUGUCAUGCCAAUGGCACUGCCCGGUAGCUAAAUGCGGAAGAGAUAAGUGCUGAAAGCAUCUAAGCACGAAACUUGCCCCGAGAUGAGUUCUCCCUGACCCUUUAAGGGUCCUGAAGGAACGUUGAAGACGACGACGUUGAUAGGCCGGGUGUGUAAGCGCAGC
This 1290-nucleotide ribosomal RNA is filed under the name Escherichia coli. RNAcentral's name for it is "partial 23S ribosomal RNA". It matches the Rfam family "Bacterial large subunit ribosomal RNA", at positions 1613 to 2879 of the family's 2925-position model. The record is from RNAcentral. Lineage: Bacteria; Pseudomonadati; Pseudomonadota; Gammaproteobacteria; Enterobacterales; Enterobacteriaceae.